UAACUCAUAAAAUACCUUCCCCUCACUGCCCUACCAAAUAUAGUAGCUAUGAGCCACUUGUAGCUGCUUAAAGUUAAAUGUGCAUUAGCUAAGAUUAAAUGAACUUAAAAUCUCAGUUUUUCUGUCAUAAUAGCACAUUUUAAAAAUGCUCAGUUGUCACAUGUGGCUACCUUACUGGACAAUGCAGUGAGAAUAUCAUCAUUGCAGAAAGUUGUAUGGAUGGUGCUGCUCUACUAUAUAAAGCCUUUUUUUGGUUUCAGGUCUAGAUGGAAUUAACCCCCCAACACAAGGCUGCACUGGACCUUGGACAAAUCUCUUACCAUUUAUUGAACCUAACUGUGCACAUAUCUGUCUUCCUCACUAGAUUCCAAGCUUCUGAAGGUUUAAAUUCUGUCCUCACGAUGACCUACAACGCUAAAAAGGCAGGAGGACCAACUUCAGCUCAAGGAGAGCAAAGAAACUGAUAAAAUGAGUUGUUGGACCUGGAUUAGAACUCUAUGCAAAUUUUUCCACCUUAUGGAAUUCCAUUAGUAUGAAAAGAAUCCCCUGGAAAGAGUUGAAAAAGAAUCAGUAUGAUGAAGUCCCCAAGAAAGUGAAAGGGGAUGGAGUAUGAUGUACAAUUUAGAGCAUAAAGAGCAGAAAAAGUGAAAGGAACUGUGGAUGGAUUUGCAUACAGGUUUUAAGGUUGGCUUCAAGAGAUGUUUGCAUGGCAUUUGGAAAGUGGAAGCUUUUACCCAACAGAUUUAUCAGAGAAAAAGAAAGACUCCAGGUUGUAAUCAUUGGGCUCAAAGAACUACCAGAAGGAAGCCAAAAUAAAAAGGAAUAUAAUAUCAUAAAAGCUGGGUUUUGUCACCUGCUAAAAUAAGACAACAGAAGAAGAAUGUGAGUGUAAGCUCGCUCUCUUUUUCUCUGCCUCGCCUUACAUUCUGGUGUUGGAACCUGGGAGGGAAGAUCCACUGCAACUGUGUGGGCUCCUCUCACAAGCCCACCUCUGGUGGUCCCCUCCCUUGGACCUUGCCAAGAAACUGAGAUGAGCUCCGGGACGGGACUCUCCACUUGCCUUGUUGGACUGACAUCCACACACCUGCCCACAUUUCAUCCACCGGUUUCAAGUGUUCACCUAAGAAGGAGCCUUACUGUUUGGGCUCAUUAGAAGUAUGACUUCAUGGCUAAACCAUCAAGAGUUGAAGCUGAUACAGAUGUUCUAGAGAGGCAACAAAAGAUCAGCCAGUGAUUGCUUCACUUGUGUCAGAAAACUGCUGUGCUAUAGCAAUUGCAGAACUUCCAAAGAAACCACACAUCUGUGCUCAAUGCAAACCCAUGGAUGAAUCUUGGUAAUAUCAAUAUAAUAUAUGUCAAAAACCAAGACCCAGAAGACUACAUUCAUAUGAGUUCCUGUUAUGAAAUUAAAAAUCAAGCAAAACUAAACAUUGAUUAGCCAUAUAUAUAUAAGUGUGUGUGCACACGCAUGUGCGUGAGAGAGAGCUCUUAAAAAAAAUGGCAAAUAUAAAAUUUAAUAUAGUUAUCCCCUCUAGGAGAGAGGCCAGGAGACAAAAAAGGAAGUAAGCUCUAUUAUACAAAUAGGUAAAAGUAAUUUUAUAUUAUGUAUUUUUUGGCUGGGGUGGUGUGAUUGAAAAAGAUCAAAUGAAGAAAAAAUCCUUUGCACAGGCAAAUUAGGUCAGUAUAUAAUAAACCAAGGAUUGUGAUUAAUUUAUUUUUGUUUACCAGAAAUUCAUAGUUAAAAAGAGGGAAAAUAAUCUUACUGUAGUAUCUAAGUCCUCUAUUGUUGUGUUUUAAAAAUUAUUAACAGCUUCCAAUAUAUUCCAGGUGUAUUUUUGCAGAUAGUGGUUAAUAACCUUUUAUAUAUAUGUGUGUGUGUGUGUGUGUGUGUGAAAUAUAACUUGAGACUGUGCAUUGAGAUGCUCAAGUUAUGUGCUGCCUACUCAUUCAGACUUUGCCCUCAACUUCUGCUGCUCUAAACUCAGGAUUGCAGCUGAAAUACACUAUUUUCACUUAUUUGCCUCAUCAGUUUUCUAUCUGGUGACUCAUACAAGUCACCAAAUCUUCCUUCAAACUAGUUUCUUGCUUGGUCUAAGUUUUCCAGUUUCCUCAUAAACCCUUCUCUGGUUUUCAAGCUGACAUAAAUAUCCUCUUAUUCCUUUGAUCAUUUAUCCACAUUUUGGGAAGUGGGCAAGUGGAAACCAUAGGCUAAACUCAUCAUAUUUGUCACAGAAGUCAUUUCAAUGUGUUUAUUAAUUUUAAAGUUUUCUUUUUUCAGAAAUGUAUAACUUUACUGAUCUAAGAACUAAUCAAUUAUUAUUGAAUAGAAGUAAGAAAUGUUCUGUUCUCUUCCUUCUUUGAGUAAAUCUAUGCAAAAAGUUUUUCUGGAACUAAAGAUAUUAACUGUUCCUCUGAUGUUACUGCUAUUGUCUAUUCCAUGGCCCUAUAGUUAUAUAGUUAGCUGGCUUCCUCUAGAUUCUUCUCCAAGUAUUUGCAUUGCUUUAGAGUGGGCAGGGACAGUCAGUCAGUCCUCUUGUUUACCCUCAAUUUGAGCCAUGGUAGUAAUACAUGAGAAAACCUUCAAAUUACAUUCACCUAGGGCCUUCUGCUAGCUGUUCCCUCUGGCAGGUAUGCACUUCCCCCAGUUACCUAUUUGUCUAACUCCCUCUCCUCUUUUGAAUCUUUGCUCCAUUUUACCUUCUCAACGAAAUCUACUCUGGCCUCCUUAUUUAA
Long non-coding RNA from Bubalus bubalis (water buffalo), 2733 nucleotides. RefSeq lists it as uncharacterized. The transcript is spliced from 7 exons. The record is from RefSeq and is a predicted model, not a curated record. NCBI's taxonomy places the organism in Eukaryota, Metazoa, Chordata, Mammalia, Artiodactyla, Bovidae.